CCUGCCCCUCGCCCCAGCAGCCGAAGCCUCAGUUCCAGUGCAGAAACAAAAUAAACCAUGAGAGGAAGUGCGGUUAAAAACACCCGGGACAUCAAGUUCUCAACAGCCUCGCUGGCUUUGUGCUGCGGCGCUCUAAGGGAAGGAUGGUGUGAGUAACCUGUGGGAACGGGGCGUGCUGCAGCAAGCAAGCGUUUCGCGCCGCGCUGCCAGGCCCCACCUGGCAUUGACGCAGAGAGCAUCGUCGCUGACACACAGAACGAGCUUCUCCCUCCGGGCGAGCCUCCCUCCUGCCAAGGGGCCCACGGGGACCACUACAAAGCUCAAUGCGCCCUUCUUCCUUCCUGCCUCUGCUCACAGUGCCCCAGGGCUCUCUUAGCUCUUGAAGCCGCGCUGCGGGUGCUGUGGGCAAGGCUGGCAUAGGGCGGUGGGGACCCUGCGACGACCCGUGGUCGCUCCCAGACAUCUACGACACCUGUAUGUGCGGGGGUCAGACUGAGCUGGGAUUUAUCCUACAAAGGCAUUUCUUUGUCCCCUGAGGCACGGAGCAGCAGAACUCGUGAAACGCCGAGCCAGGGAGAAGUCGGACAAUUACUCAGAUGUCACCAGGCUCUCACAUUACAGAUGGGCGUAGGCAAGGAACCACAGUGACGCUUUGCCGAGUGCCUGCAGCUAACAUGAUCUCCAACGUGCAGGUCAAGAAUGCAUUUCCCACAAGAGAAAACUGGCAGGGACUAUGACAUUUUUUCCUCAUUUUAAAAGCAGAAGCAAGGACCAGAACAAGAUGAGGUGGGAGUAUCUAUAUCAUAGGUUCCCAGUAAUCUCUGUCUAUUACUUUACUUUCACGGAGACCCUAGACACAAGGCUUCUCUGUGGAGACAGUCAACAAGUGCUCAAUUGGUGGCAAUUGUCAUGGGGAGCUUGUGAUGUGGAUACUCAGACCAUCAACAUAUUUCACAAGAGCCACUGAAAGGCCUUUCCUCUUCAGACUGAAUGAUAACAGUUCAGGACCAGUUCUGUGAGUCAGAGGGCACUGAAAAAGUAAAAAUUGCCUUUACCUGGAGCUGGACUGGAUUUUAUAUUUCUGGCAUUCAUGUUUCUUCUUUACUUUUUACAUUUCACUCAGACUGAGCAGGGAAACUAAACAGACUCAACUCCCUGACCACUCCUCACUGUCAGAUGUGGGGAAGAAUAAUGGCAGUCCUAGUCCUAGCAGUGGGACCACACAGAAUAGACGUGGGAAAAGCAAAGUAAUCCAUGCUUCUGCCAGCUCUGGCCUUUUCACAGUUAAUCCCUAUCCCCCAGAAAAAAAGGGGAAAAAAAUGUUCUUUUUCAAAAUCACGAUUGUACAAAUUAUUACCUUGAACUCUAUUGUCUAUCAUUCUGUAACACAGUUUCAUGCGAGAAUAUUUCUACAAAUGCCUAUGAGUACAGAGCCUAUUUCACUACCUAAAUAAAUCUUCUAGGACCCAAUAGGAAAAUAUAGCA
Molecule: long non-coding RNA, 1485 nt
Filed under: Struthio camelus australis
Lineage: Eukaryota; Metazoa; Chordata; Aves; Struthioniformes; Struthionidae
Description: lncRNA (ENSSCUG00000003312.1)
Source: RNAcentral